UAAUAAAUUAAAAUGUGUUUUAAAUUUCAAUUUACCAAAAGAUAUGGAAAAUUGUUAUAAAUUAAAAGAUAUAGGUUUUAUCUUAUUAAAAUUAGAUACUUUUUGUAGAGUAUCUAGCUGUUUUAAACAAGAAUGGAGUACGGCAGUACAUAACAAAUGGCAAACGGCACUACUAAAAAAAAUUGGUAUUCUAAAUGAGUUUAAUGGAAUCAAAUGGCUAACGGAUUCGUAUGUAACAACACAAUUUAAUGAAAUACUAAAACCUAUAACUAUGAUCAAUAAGCUUUUAAAAAGUUAUAAAAGUUGGACAUUUUUUAAUGGUAAUGAGAAAACACAAAUCAGCAACGGUUUAAACGGGAUAAAUGGCUUAAAUUCUAAUACUGUAAACCGUAACGAUCAGUUACAAAAUAAGUGGCAUGAUUCACAAGUGAUUAAACAGUUAUUACAAAGUGUAGGCUUAAAAAAUGAAUCUGAUUUAAACAAAUUUGUUGCAAAAAAUCACAUUUUAAAGCAUUUAUUACUAUCAACAACGAAUAAAGUAUCUAGUAUCUUUAAUUUUACCAACGAUGUUGAUAAUACAUAUACUAACUUUUUAAAAAACAGGUAUAUAAAUAAAAUGAACAUAGAAAAGCAACAGCAACAGCAACAGCAAUACCAACAACAACAACAACAACAACAACAGCGAUAUCUGCAACUGCCUAUGCUUGCUUCGACUAAUAUGCUCAUAAAGAAGAAAANNNNNNNNNNNNNNNNNNNNNNNNNNNNNNNNNNNNNNNNNNNNNNNNNNNNNNNNNNNNNNNNNNNNNNNNNNNNNNNNNNNNNNNNNNNNNNNNNNNNAGUUAGUACUGACCCAAAUGGAAUAACAAAUUAUAUGGACAACUUAGAAGUGGGGGAAAACCUAACAGUAGGGGGAAAUGUAGUAAACCAUCACUAUCAUCAUUAUGCUGAUAAUUAUAAUACUAAUGUUCUUAAUGGUAACGAACAGAAUGGUGAAGAAUAUAAAGAGAAUGUUAUGACUCAAGCGGGCGAAUACAUAUACAAUGAUAAUGGUGCCAGUUAUUAUAACAAUAACAAUAACAAUAACAGUUACAAUAACAAUAACAAUAAUAAUAGAAAUUAUUUAACACAUGGUGAAACAGAAAAUUGUUUAUUAGCAAGCGGAAAAGUGAACCCAGUUUAUUUUGAAAAUAUACAAAAUCAACAUCCACAAGAUGAUAGCGCACAGGGUAUAUACUACAAUAGGCAUAAUACGUAUGACAUAUGUAAUAGAUAUGACAUAUACAAUACAUAUGAUGUAUAUAAUACGUAUGGUUCAUAUAAUAAUUACGAUUUAUAUAAUGUACCUGAUCUACAUAUCCCAUAUAAUAACUAUUAUAGUCAACAUGAUUGUAUUUACAAUGUCAAUUCUAGCACUAGUAACAAUAAUAAUGAAAUUGUUAAAGACAAAAACGAAUAUAACAAUGCAGAACUUUCAACUAAUGCUCAAGCAGUGUUUGGAUAUAAUUCGGAAGAUGAUCACAUAUACAUAAACAAUGAUAUAGACUUUGAAACUUUUAAAAAGGCAUUACCAGCUAGUUACCAAAUUAAUAGCACACAAAACGAAACUUAUAAAUCGGAGUUAUCAGAUAAUUACCAAAUUAAUAACGAAAUCAACAUCUUUAAUACAACCGACAAAGAUAACUAUGUAACUAAUUUUAUAAAUAAGAAUAUGUAUAUUCGAAAUAAACAAAUGAAUAAAAUAAACAGAAUGGACAGGUGUUCUAAUGCAAAUAGAAAUGAUAUACUUAAAACAGAACAAUAUGAUAAUUCUUUUAUUCCUGUCAGUCAAAAGAUAAAUGAUCCAUUUGUUCGAAACUAUUUAAAUAAAAAUUAUAAAAAUAAAAUUAAUGCAAAAUUGGUAAAUAUCUUUAAUAAUUUUUAUAAUAAGAACAUACAUAGAAAUAAUAAAGAAGAUAUGUUGCUGUGCGAAAUACAGAUUGAAUCUAUUCCUUAUGAGCAUGAACUAGUAAGAGAAGAUUGUAACCGUAAUUGGACAAGUGUAUUAGAUACAUAUGUACAUAAUAUUUAUGACUUAAUGAGUAGUUAUAUCGAAUCGGUUGAUAAAAUUUGUUUAUUCAUUUAUCAUUCAACUGAUUUAGAAAAAAUAAAAAAAAAAUUACCAGGUAUGAAUUCACAAUUAUGGA
This is a long non-coding RNA of Piliocolobus tephrosceles (Ugandan red Colobus), 2183 nucleotides long. The record is from Ensembl. NCBI's taxonomy places the organism in Eukaryota, Metazoa, Chordata, Mammalia, Primates, Cercopithecidae.